RNAcentral lists this ribosomal RNA (565 nucleotides) under Streptomyces sp. 322H03. Its description in RNAcentral is "bacterial SSU rRNA". It matches the Rfam family "Bacterial small subunit ribosomal RNA", at positions 92 to 671 of the family's 1533-position model. Lineage: Bacteria; Bacillati; Actinomycetota; Actinomycetes; Kitasatosporales; Streptomycetaceae. The record is from RNAcentral.
UAGUGGCCGAACGGGUGAGUAACACGUGGGCAAUCUGCCCUUCACUCUGGGACAAGCCCUGGAAACGGGGUCUAAUACCGGAUAAUACUUCUGCCUGCAUGGGCGGGGGUUGAAAGCUCCGGCGGUGAAGGAUGAGCCCGCGGCCUAUCAGCUUGUUGGUGGGGUGAUGGCCUACCAAGGCGACGACGGGUAGCCGGCCUGAGAGGGCGACCGGCCACACUGGGACUGAGACACGGCCCAGACUCCUACGGGAGGCAGCAGUGGGGAAUAUUGCACAAUGGGCGAAAGCCUGAUGCAGCGACGCCGCGUGAGGGAUGACGGCCUUCGGGUUGUAAACCUCUUUCAGCAGGGAAGAAGCGAAAGUGACGGUACCUGCAGAAGAAGCGCCGGCUAACUACGUGCCAGCAGCCGCGGUAAUACGUAGGGCGCAAGCGUUGUCCGGAAUUAUUGGGCGUAAAGAGCUCGUAGGCGGCUUGUCGCGUCGGAUGUGAAAGCCCGGGGCUUAACCCCGGGUCUGCAUUCGAUACGGGCAGGCUAGAGUGUGGUAGGGGAGAUCGGAAUUCCU